UACGUAGGGUGCAAGCGUUAAUCGGAAUUACUGGGCGUAAAGCGUGCGCAGGCGGUUGUGCAAGACAGAUGUGAAAUCCCCGGGCUCAACCUGGGAAUUGCAUUUGUGACUUCACGGCUAGAGUGUGUCAGAGGGGGGUAGAAUUCCACGUGUAGCAGUGAAAUGCGUAGAGAUGUGGAGGAAUACCGAUGGCGAAGGCAGCCCCCUGGGAUAACACUGACGCUCAUGCACGAAAGCGUGGGGAGCAAACAGG
This 253-nucleotide ribosomal RNA is filed under the name uncultured bacterium. RNAcentral's name for it is "partial 16S ribosomal RNA". It matches the Rfam family "Bacterial small subunit ribosomal RNA", at positions 524 to 776 of the family's 1533-position model. The record is from RNAcentral.